This 482-nucleotide ribosomal RNA is filed under the name uncultured bacterium. RNAcentral describes it as "partial 16S ribosomal RNA". It matches the Rfam family "Bacterial small subunit ribosomal RNA", at positions 28 to 523 of the family's 1533-position model. The record is from RNAcentral.
GACGAACGCUGGCGGCGCGCCUAACACAUGCAAGUCGAACGAGCGAGAGAGAGCUUGCUUUCUCAAGCGAGUGGCGAACGGGUGAGUAACGCGUGAGGAACCUGCCUCAAAGAGGGGGACAACAGUUGGAAACGACUGCUAAUACCGCAUAAGCCCACGGCUCGGCAUCGAGCAGAGGGAAAAGGAGUGAUCCGCUUUGAGAUGGCCUCGCGUCCGAUUAGCUAGUUGGUGAGGUAACGGCCCACCAAGGCGACGAUCGGUAGCCGGACUGAGAGGUUGAACGGCCACAUUGGGACUGAGACACGGCCCAGACUCCUACGGGAGGCAGCAGUGGGGAAUAUUGCACAAUGGGGGAAACCCUGAUGCAGCGACGCCGCGUGGAGGAAGAAGGUCUUCGGAUUGUAAACUCCUGUUGUUGAGGAAGAUAAUGACGGUACUCAACAAGGAAGUGACGGCUAACUACGUGCCAGCAGCCGCCGUAA